UGUACAUGUGUAGCUGGAUCAGUGUUGUGUAACCAUUGUGUGGCUCUACUUUUCCAGUCUGCACAUUAUUCACAGCUUGACAUUCCAGUUGUUCCACCAGUGCUGAGCUGUACGGAGAGUGAACAACAGUGGCACAAGCCAAGAACCAUGGGUAUUAAACCAGGUCCCAUCGAAAAGAUGGCUGUGAUGUCUGCCAAACCAAAGCAGAGGACCAUGGCCGAGGGAGUAAGGUCCACACUGUACAAAGCCACCAGUGGAGAGUUGCUGGACCUGUCUGUUCUCAAAGUGUCAGAGAUCUACAAAGAGUUCACCCCUAUUUCUGCACCAACCAUUUGUACAAUGGGUAUCACCUGUGAGGUGCCACUGGUGAACUGUGCACUGGGUUUGGUACAAGUAGGUAGUCCUCUUUC
This is a long non-coding RNA of Eleginops maclovinus (Patagonian blennie), 410 nucleotides long. RefSeq lists it as uncharacterized. Lineage: Eukaryota; Metazoa; Chordata; Actinopteri; Perciformes; Eleginopidae. The transcript has 3 exons. The record is from RefSeq and is a predicted model, not a curated record.